Molecule: ribosomal RNA, 253 nt
Filed under: uncultured bacterium
Lineage: Bacteria
Description: partial 16S ribosomal RNA
Rfam family: Bacterial small subunit ribosomal RNA
Source: RNAcentral
UACGGAGGGGGCUAGCGUUGUUCGGAAUUACUGGGCGUAAGGCGCACGUAGGCGGCUUUGUAAGUUAGAGGUGAAAGCCCGGGGCUCAACUCCGGAAUUGCCUUUAAGACUGCAUCGCUUGAACGUCGGAGAGGUGAGUGGAAUUCCGAGUGUAGAGGUGAAAUUCGUAGAUAUUCGGAAGAACACCAGUGGCGAAGGCGGCUCACUGGACGACUGUUGACGCUGAGGUGCGAAAGCGUGGGGAGCAAACAGG